RNAcentral lists this ribosomal RNA (458 nucleotides) under uncultured bacterium. RNAcentral's name for it is "partial 16S ribosomal RNA". It matches the Rfam family "Bacterial small subunit ribosomal RNA", at positions 338 to 795 of the family's 1533-position model. The record is from RNAcentral.
CCUACGGGAGGCAGCAGUGAGGAAUAUUGGUCAAUGGGCGAGAGCCUGAACCAGCCAAGUCGCGUGAGGGAGUACUGCCCUAUGGGUUGUAAACCUCUUUUGUCGGGGAGCAAAAGCCGGACGUGUCCGGCUGUGAGAGUACCCGACGAAAAAGCAUCGGCUAACUCCGUGCCAGCAGCCGCGGUAAUACGGAGGAUGCGAGCGUUAUCCGGGUUUAUGGGGUGUAAAGGGUUCGCAGGCGGAUUUUUAAGUCAGCGGUCAAAUCUUGGGGCUCAACCCCAUCCAGCCGUUGAAACUGGGGAUCUAGAGUGUGCGAGAGGUAUGCGGAAUGCGUGGUGUAGCGGUGAAAUGCAUAGAUAUCACGCAGAACCCCGAUUGCGAAGGCAGCAUACCGGUGCACAACUGACGCUCAGGCACGAAAGCGUGGGUAUCGAACAGGAUGAGAUACCUUAGUAGUC